This 1692-nucleotide ribosomal RNA is filed under the name Staphylococcus aureus. RNAcentral describes it as "partial 23S ribosomal RNA". It matches the Rfam family "Bacterial large subunit ribosomal RNA", at positions 513 to 2209 of the family's 2925-position model. Lineage: Bacteria; Bacillati; Bacillota; Bacilli; Caryophanales; Staphylococcaceae. The record is from RNAcentral.
GGUGAAAAGCACCCCGGAAGGGGAGUGAAAUAGAACCUGAAACCGUGUGCUUACAAGUAGUCAGAGCCCGUUAAUGGGUGAUGGCGUGCCUUUUGUAGAAUGAACCGGCGAGUUACGAUUUGAUGCAAGGUUAAGCAGUAAAUGUGGAGCCGUAGCGAAAGCGAGUCUGAAUAGGGCGUUUAGUAUUUGGUCGUAGACCCGAAACCAGGUGAUCUACCCUUGGUCAGGUUGAAGUUCAGGUAACACUGAAUGGAGGACCGAACCGACUUACGUUGAAAAGUGAGCGGAUGAACUGAGGGUAGCGGAGAAAUUCCAAUCGAACCUGGAGAUAGCUGGUUCUCUCCGAAAUAGCUUUAGGGCUAGCCUCAAGUGAUGAUUAUUGGAGGUAGAGCACUGUUUGGACGAGGGGCCCCUCUCGGGUUACCGAAUUCAGACAAACUCCGAAUGCCAAUUAAUUUAACUUGGGAGUCAGAACAUGGGUGAUAAGGUCCGUGUUCGAAAGGGAAACAGCCCAGACCACCAGCUAAGGUCCCAAAAUAUAUGUUAAGUGGAAAAGGAUGUGGCGUUGCCCAGACAACUAGGAUGUUGGCUUAGAAGCAGCCAUCAUUUAAAGAGUGCGUAAUAGCUCACUAGUCGAGUGACACUGCGCCGAAAAUGUACCGGGGCUAAACAUAUUACCGAAGCUGUGGAUUGUCCUUUGGACAAUGGUAGGAGAGCGUUCUAAGGGCGUUGAAGCAUGAUCGUAAGGACAUGUGGAGCGCUUAGAAGUGAGAAUGCCGGUGUGAGUAGCGAAAGACGGGUGAGAAUCCCGUCCACCGAUUGACUAAGGUUUCCAGAGGAAGGCUCGUCCGCUCUGGGUUAGUCGGGUCCUAAGCUGAGGCCGACAGGCGUAGGCGAUGGAUAACAGGUUGAUAUUCCUGUACCACCUAUAAUCGUUUUAAUCGAUGGGGGGACGCAGUAGGAUAGGCGAAGCGUGCGAUUGGAUUGCACGUCUAAGCAGUAAGGCUGAGUAUUAGGCAAAUCCGGUACUCAUUAAGGCUGAGCUGUGAUGGGGAGAAGACAUUGUGUCUUCGAGUCGUUGAUUUCACACUGCCGAGAAAAGCCUCUAGAUAGAAAAUAGGUGCCCGUACCGCAAACCGACACAGGUAGUCAAGAUGAGAAUUCUAAGGUGAGCGAGCGAACUCUCGUUAAGGAACUCGGCAAAAUGACCCCGUAACUUCGGGAGAAGGGGUGCUCUUUAGGGUUAACGCCCAGAAGAGCCGCAGUGAAUAGGCCCAAGCGACUGUUUAUCAAAAACACAGGUCUCUGCUAAACCGUAAGGUGAUGUAUAGGGGCUGACGCCUGCCCGGUGCUGGAAGGUUAAGAGGAGUGGUUAGCUUCUGCGAAGCUACGAAUCGAAGCCCCAGUAAACGGCGGCCGUAACUAUAACGGUCCUAAGGUAGCGAAAUUCCUUGUCGGGUAAGUUCCGACCCGCACGAAAGGCGUAACGAUUUGGGCACUGUCUCAACGAGAGACUCGGUGAAAUCAUAGUACCUGUGAAGAUGCAGGUUACCCGCGACAGGACGGAAAGACCCCGUGGAGCUUUACUGUAGCCUGAUAUUGAAAUUCGGCACAGCUUGUACAGGAUAGGUAGGAGCCUUUGAAACGUGAGCGCUAGCUUACGUGGAGGCGCUGGUGGGAUACUACCCUAGC